UACGGAGGAGGCAAGCGUUAUCCGGAAUUAUUGGGCGUAAAGCGUCCGCAGGUGGCACCUCAAGUCUGCCGUCAAAGACCGGGGCUUAACCCCAGAAAGGCAGUGGAAACUGAAGUGCUAGAGUGCAGUAGGGGUAGAGGGAAUUCCCGGUGUAGCGGUGAAAUGCGUAGAGAUCGGGAAGAACAUCGGUGGCGAAAGCGCUCUGCUGGACUGCAACUGACACUCAGGGACGAAAGCUAGGGGAGCGAAUGGG
Molecule: ribosomal RNA, 253 nt
Filed under: uncultured bacterium
Lineage: Bacteria
Description: partial 16S ribosomal RNA
Rfam family: Bacterial small subunit ribosomal RNA
Source: RNAcentral